RNAcentral lists this unclassified non-coding RNA (206 nucleotides) under Hevea brasiliensis (rubber tree). The record is from RNAcentral. Lineage: Eukaryota; Viridiplantae; Streptophyta; Magnoliopsida; Malpighiales; Euphorbiaceae.
UUUCUAACACUAUAAAUAUAGCAGGCAAGGAGCACCAUUUUGAUAUCCAUAGCAUCAGUAUCUGUAUUUGUUCAGUUGGGGUCUCUGUGUUUUAUUCCAUUUUAUUUGAUCUUUUUAACAUCUUGAUUGAAGAAGAAAUAAUGUUGGCGAUAUUCAAGAAAGGGUUGGUGAAUCCACCUCAAGAGCUGAAUAGCCCAGCUUCAUUG